This 29-nucleotide small RNA is filed under the name Bombyx mori (domestic silkworm). RNAcentral's name for it is "ovarian small RNA-4710". Lineage: Eukaryota; Metazoa; Arthropoda; Insecta; Lepidoptera; Bombycidae. The record is from RNAcentral.
CAGCCGGAAGGUGAGGCAUCCGCGGUCGC